Molecule: ribosomal RNA, 468 nt
Filed under: uncultured bacterium
Lineage: Bacteria
Description: partial 16S ribosomal RNA
Rfam family: Bacterial small subunit ribosomal RNA
Source: RNAcentral
GACGAACGCUGGCGGCGUGCUUAACACAUGCAAGUCGAACGGAAAGGCCCUGCUUUUGUGGGGUGCUCGAGUGGCGAACGGGUGAGUAACACGUGAGUAACCUGCCCUUGACUUUGGGAUAACUUCAGGUAACUGGGGCUAAUACCGGAUAGGAGCUCCUGCUGCAUGGUGGGGGUUGGAAAGUUUCGGCGGUUGGGGAUGGACUCGCGGCUUAUCAGCUUGUUGGUGGGGUAGUGGCUUACCAAGGCUUUGACGGGUAGCCGGCCUGAGAGGGUGACCGGCCACAUUGGGACUGAGAUACGGCCCAGACUCCUACGGGAGGCAGCAGUGGGGAAUAUUGCACAAUGGGCGGAAGCCUGAUGCAGCAACGCCGCGUGCGGGAUGACGGCCUUCGGGUUGUAAACCGCUUUCGCCUGUGACGAAGCGUGAGUGACGGUAAUGUGUAAAGAAGCACCGGCUAACUACGUG